RNAcentral lists this ribosomal RNA (497 nucleotides) under uncultured bacterium. RNAcentral's name for it is "partial 16S ribosomal RNA". It matches the Rfam family "Bacterial small subunit ribosomal RNA", at positions 28 to 507 of the family's 1533-position model. The record is from RNAcentral.
GAUGAACGCUGGCGGCGUGCCUAAUACAUGCAAGUCGAGCGAACGGACGAGAAGCUUGCUUCUCUGAUGUUAGCGGCGGACGGGUGAGUAACACGUGGAUAACCUACCUAUAAGACUGGGAUAACUUCGGGAAACCGGAGCUAAUACCGGAUGAUAUUUUGAACCGCAUGGUUCAAAAGUGAAAGACGGUCUUGCUGUCACUUAUAGAUGGAUCCGCGCUGCAUUAGCUAGUUGGUAAGGUAACGGCUUACCAAGGCAACGAUGCAUAGUCGACCUGAGAGGGUGAUCGGCCACACUGGAACUGAGACACGGUCCAGACUCCUACGGGAGGCAGCAGUAGGGAAUCUUCCGCAAUGGGCGAAAGCCUGACGGAGCAACGCCGCGUGAGUGAUGAAGGUCUUCGGAUCGUAAAACUCUGUUAUUAGGGAAGAACAUAUGUGUAAGUAACUGUGCACAUCUUGACGGUACCUAAUCAGAAAGCCACGGCUAACUACGUG